CUGGUGUCCAUUUCUGGAACUGCUAUUUGUGUGUUGCAUGAUAUUUUAUCAGGGGGGAAAAAAAAAAUAAAACUGAGAUCCAAUUUCAUGAAAAUGCUGUUGCCGUAUGCCCAGGAGGACAGGGGGAGGAGAGAGUCAAGUCUUCCUCCGUCUACCUCAUACGCAGCAGAAAGAAGACUAUCAAAGUAGCAAACAGUGAAAGAUUCUUGAAGAGGGGAAUAGACACUUGAAGAGCACACAAAGCAGAUUAGGGUGCGUGUCCAGGUGUUAUGGCUGCCAGUCUCUGCUACGCUGGAUGGAGAGGGAGGCAGGGAGAGGAAGUUGAGGUAGAUACCAGUGUAUGAAAGGAGGAAAAUCACUAAAGGAUUCAGACUGGGGUCUUUCAGAAGACAACCCGACUAUAACCUGGACAACAAGCCCAUGAUUUUUCUAGAUUCACCUGGAACCUGAAGGCAAUGCAGCUUGAGGUAUCCUUUGCUAUAAGCAAAAUAAUAGCAAGAAUAAUUACUUCAAACUAAGAGUGUACAGUUAGGUAGACAAUCAAGCAAUUUUUCAGAAUUAAAAAAAAAUGCCUGGACAAAUGGGAAAAGUACUAAUUUUAGAAAGACUGCAAAUGCCCAAGGUUAAGCAUGGGAACGAAGAAACUCUUCUUGCAGGAUUCCUACAGCACACCUCUCUAGUCACCUAAAAGAACAGGACUUCUGCGACAAGUUGGUACUGGAAGCAGAGUCUUCUACUGGCAAUCUUGCACAUCUGACUUCUGAAGAACCUCCCCUAGAGCAGGUUCCUGCCCUGUGCUGUUUAAAGGAGGCCUCCCCUUGAAGCUGUGUGAACUGAAUGACUGUCACCAGAAGCAUGGGACACCCUGACAUCACAAAAGGAGCACUGGGGCUCUGCUUCCUGUCAGGGAGAUCCCUAGAAGGCAUUCGUUCCCACCCAGGAAGGCCAGCACUCGGAAACAAUUGCCAACCACAAAAAUAGCCCCCACUUAACACAAAUUAAACAUAUUCCCAUCUUGACUUCUCUUUAGCUACAGCCCCAAGGGCUCGGCACUUUGUGGGCACCCCACUCCAGCAGGAGGAAGAUGGACUGAAAAUGGAAACAGUCUUAAGUAACAAUAGCUAAAUAUAUCUCGUUUGUAGUAGAUCUUACAAGCACACACAACCAUGAGAACACAUUGCAAAAGCUCCUCCCUUCCCUUGGAGGAAGCCUGUUCCAGCUAAGAGGGCCACGGCUCAAGCUUGUUUGCUGAUCCACUGUAGGCAGAGCCUCACCCAGACUCUGACUGUAACUGGGGAUGCCAGUCUGUAAAGAGUGGCAACAGUCAAUGACUGAAAGUAACCACAGUGUCCAUGGACUAAAAAGGAUAUAUUUGGAAGGCCAUUAGUAAGUAAAAGCAGGGUGACCCUGUGGCAACUAGGAAUGAACAGGGAUGGCAAAAAUAAAAGAAGCAUGACGCCAUCUAAUCCGGCUCGCAUCCAGCUUUAACUAAGACGUUCACAUGCAGUUCCAGUGUGAGGUACAGAGACGGCCAUCACACAGACAGAGGCCUCUCAGGGAGUGACAUCGGGAGAGUUUGCACCCAGGGCAGGAGAUCCAGAAGACCUUAUCUGACUUAGUCUAAGGAAAUUCUGUGCUCUGACUGCACACCAAGUCCUAAACUGCCACCGUAAGAUGGACAUGAACUCAUGCCCCAAAGCCUCAGCUUCUGCUUUUCUUCAUUCAGCUGGAGACAUGGCUAUUGCACCAAACACACCAACAUCUGGCUGCCUCAGUUUGACCCACUUCCUUCCUAGUGUGAAAGCAGGAAGCAAAAAUUAAAAUGAGAGAAAGAAGAACCAACAAACCACCAUCUGCAGCAGAGAUACGUGAAAUGACCCCAGCACAAUCCUACAAGUUCUGGAAUGGAGACAGAGUCUGCCAUAAUUCAGCCUCUCCUGGAUCCCUCCUGACAGCUGGCCUGCCAAAGAGCAAGGAGCCUGGAGCCUGAAUAUCUGUAUAACACCUCAUAAGGAUGGCUCCGGUCACGUGACACAGAAGUGGCUGUCAAGGAAUCUUUGUCUGCCCCAUUGCCAAAGGAGCAGCUGACCUCAGUGGUUGCCAGGCAACACUGUCCACAUCCAGGCGUUUGCCCAGUGGCCUUAUGGAGUCUGUGGUGACUCAAGGCUGGGAAGCGUGGUGCAGCUCUGCCUGGCACUGGGGCGGGAGGCUAACAGGAUACGUGCAGCAUCGCGGGCAGUAUUGGCCAAGAUCAGGCCUGAAGUGAACCCUUGCGGCUUGAAGAUUCCCGAGCAACACAAGUCCUUUUUUGAGAAGUGGAAUAAUUUGUUUUUGGCAAAACACUGUUUCUUUUUUCGAGGGUGAGAAGAAAAAGAGUGUGGGAAAAGCUUUGGAAAUCUUGCAAGACCUCUUGGACAUGGACUAUGUGUUACAAAACAUAUUUUUGACGAGUUAAGUGUUAACCAACCAAAAACAGACAGAUUGUCUUUCCCAUGUUGGCUUCAAACUGCAGCGGAGUAAGUGCCGUUGCUGAACACCCUGAGAAUUUGCCGAACCCUGUCAUUUUCAAAAGCUUGUCAAGAAGCCCAGAGCACAAGAGGCCAGAACGGAGUUGCCUGCCCCUUUCUGCAGGAUGUGUGCAGCCUUCUGGGAGAGAGGGAGGGAAAAAAAUGAACAAUACCAAAUCAAAGAGUUCCAACUGUCAGUGAAGGGUGGUCCAGAAAAAAAGCUUUCAAAGGAGAAAAAGAUUCGUUAGAAAACAUAAUGAGUUCUCUUUGUCAUUGAAAAUACAUCCAAAGAUGUAUUUCAUGACUACUUUUGACAGGCAAUGAUCUGAAUAUUUGAUGGACACAGACAUUCUUUCUUGUCCUCAAACAGCUCUUAAAGACUCCCCGAGGAAACGGAGCUGUAAGCAGAUGAUUACAAUGCAUAGUAAUGGUAUAGAAUUCAAGGUAACAAGAAAGGAAAUGCUAACGCUGGUGAGCCUGGAAAAGAUCUCGAAGAACUGAAUUGUCAGAGCUUUCUUUUUAAUUCGUUUAAUUUUUAAUUGGCACAUAAAAGUUGAACGUGUAUGGGGUUCCCUGCAAUGUUCCUACACAUAGUAGUCAGGCCAAGGUAAACCUCUAGCUCCUCAAAUAGUUAUAAUUUCUUUGCCACGAAAAUAUUCUAAAUCUCUCCUCUAAUGCUGCUGGGAAAUAAAGUGCACUAUUGAUGUCUCCAUAACCCUAUAGUCCCCUAGAGCUCAGCUUCUCAGAGUGUGAUCUUGGCCUCCUAAGCAUCCUAUGCCUAAAUGCAGAUUUAAAAAGUUUUAGGAAGAGUAGGUUUUUGAGCAUGAAAUGACAAAAAAAAUUAACUCAAAAUCAAUGUGUAACAAACUCAGGGUGUGGAUGGUGGUGUUCCCAGUGCCGCAUCUCGUGACUUCCCUAUAGCUUUAGCUCUGAGCUCACACCACGCACCCCCUCCAUUGUCCACCCUGGAGUACCAGUCCCUGGAGCACUCAGCUCAGAUCCCAGACAAGUGGGUGCUGUAAUUCACUUGGAUUUUUACUGCACAUACAUUCUCUGUUCUUGCAGAAACAUGAUUGCGUUUUACAGACUCACGUCAGGAUAUCUGUAGGGUAUAGUGUGUUAGAAUGUUUGGUUUUUAAAACCUUUGGGUAAGCUUCCAUUAAGAAAUUAUUAAAUUAAUUCUGGCUUAGUCCUAUCUUUCAAUAAUUUGUGAAAUAGCCUUAAAUAGAUUGAUAUUAUUUUGUACUAUGUACUUACAAAUUCAGCAUUCUCAGCACUGACAAUUAUGAAAUAAAAUAAAACAGUGUUGACUCUGACAAACA
Long non-coding RNA from Microtus ochrogaster (prairie vole), 3829 nucleotides. RefSeq lists it as uncharacterized. The transcript is spliced from 4 exons. Lineage: Eukaryota; Metazoa; Chordata; Mammalia; Rodentia; Cricetidae. The record is from RefSeq and is a predicted model, not a curated record.